GAUGAACGCUGGCGGCGUGCUUAACACAUGCAAGUCGAACGGAAAGGCCCAAGCUUGCUUGGGUGCUCGAGUGGCGAACGGGUGAGUAACACGUGGGUGAUCUGCCCUGCACUUUGGGAUAAGCCUGGGAAACUGGGUCUAAUACCGGAUAGGACCAUCGUUUAGUGUCGGUGGUGGAAAGUUUUUCGGUGUGGGAUGAGCUCACGGCCUAUCAGCUUGUUGGUGGGGUAAUGGCCUACCAAGGCGUCGACGGGUAGCCGGCCUGAGAGGGUGUACGGCCACAUUGGGACUGAGAUACGGCCCAGACUCCUACGGGAGGCAGCAGUGGGGAAUAUUGCACAAUGGGCGCAAGCCUGAUGCAGCGACGCCGCGUGGGGGAUGACGGCCUUCGGGUUGUAAACUCCUUUCGCCAAGGACGAAGCGUUUUGUGACGGUACUUGGAGAAGAAGCACCGGCUAACUACGUG
This 466-nucleotide ribosomal RNA is filed under the name uncultured bacterium. RNAcentral's name for it is "partial 16S ribosomal RNA". It matches the Rfam family "Bacterial small subunit ribosomal RNA", at positions 28 to 507 of the family's 1533-position model. The record is from RNAcentral.